RNAcentral lists this long non-coding RNA (282 nucleotides) under Mytilus galloprovincialis (Mediterranean mussel). The record is from RNAcentral. Lineage: Eukaryota; Metazoa; Mollusca; Bivalvia; Mytilida; Mytilidae.
UUUCCGUCCAAAUCAGUGUCACGUGAGCAACAUAUAUUUAGAUCUGUAACUCUCCUGUAUAGGAGUUACGAUAUCGCCCUUUGCAGAAAUAGAUUCGGAGUCAGUUCCUUCACAUGAUGGGGAAGCAAAGAUGGGAAGUUGUAUGUAAUAUCGUUACAAGAGGACCUUAAAUGUAUUCCGUCCACCAAAAAGACGUUCGCAACAAAACGUAAUGUCAUGAUAGUAGAUGUUGCUAAUGUUACUAUUACGAAUUGGUUUCUUGUGUAUUCAUUUGAUAUAAAG